This 388-nucleotide unclassified non-coding RNA is filed under the name fungal sp. Its description in RNAcentral is "partial internal transcribed spacer region". The stretch from base 1 to 46 matches the Rfam family "Eukaryotic small subunit ribosomal RNA", at positions 1786 to 1831 of the family's 1831-position model. Lineage: Eukaryota; Fungi. The record is from RNAcentral.
AAGUCGUAACAAGGUUUCCGUAGGUGAACCUGCGGAAGGAUCAUUAACUAAUAUAUAUGUAUGCCGGAGUCAAAUCUUGCAUAUGUAUUAUUAAACAAAAACCAAAAUUUACCAAUCCGUGAACUUUAUUUUAUAAAGACCUCUGUCUUUUUUUGUUUACCUCAAAAAGCAGAAACUAGUACCAAUUCCACAAAUUUUUAUUAACCAAUAUUAACCCAUUACCGUAAUGUUGUUUAUUCAGCAUACUAAAACAAAAUUACAUUUUAGAAUGUUUUUCGAUGAAGUCUAUCAGCAAUGAUCGAUUGUAAAAAAGAAAACUUUUUAAGAUGAACCAUUAUAUCAAUAUAAUAAAGAAAUACAACUCUUAACAAUGGAUAUCUUGGCUCUC